AACUAACUAGGAUUCCCUCAGUAGCUGCGAGCGAACAGGGAUAAGCCCAGCACCGAAUCCCGCGGCCGAUAUCGGACGCCGGGAAAUGUGGUGUUCGGGAGGGUCCAUUAUCCCGAGAUUAUGCGGUGCGUCCAAGUCCUUCUUGAACGGGGCCACAGCCCAUAGAGGGUGCCAGGCCCGUAGUGACCGUCGCUAAUCGCGGGAGGAUCUCUCCUCAGAGUCGGGUUGCUUGAGAGUGCAGCCCUAAGUGGGUGGUAAACUCCAUCUAAGGCUAAAUAUGACCACGAGACCGAUAGCGAACAAGUACCGUGAGGGAAAGUUGAAAAGCACUUUGAAGAGAGAGUUCAAGAGUACGUGAAACCGUUUAGGGGUAAACCUGAGAAACCCGAAAGGUCGAAGGGAGAAAUUCAUUCGCGUUUCGAGGCAGGCGUCGAACGGUCGAGUGACGAAAGGCGUUUUUCGCGCUAUUUCGCACCCUCAGUUCGUACGAUCCGGCAGCGAACGCGUGCACUUUUCUCCUGGUAGGACGUCGCGAUCCGUUGGGUGUCGGUCUACGGCUCGCGGUGGAGCCCGUUCGUCGUGUCAAAACGUACGAGCGGACCCGCGUGUCCCGGCCGACUCGCUCGACGGUAUACGAAAGGUUUAGGGCCGCUCCACGAGAGCGUUCGGCUCGUGGCAAGCGCACCUGUUGCGUCAGCGAUUGGACCUAGUGCCGAUUCUGACCUCUGGUGACUGUUGGCCACGAUGUUCUCGAACAGACC
Molecule: ribosomal RNA, 761 nt
Filed under: Archarius roelofsi
Lineage: Eukaryota; Metazoa; Arthropoda; Insecta; Coleoptera; Curculionidae
Description: eukaryotic LSU rRNA
Rfam family: Eukaryotic large subunit ribosomal RNA
Source: RNAcentral